This 1107-nucleotide ribosomal RNA is filed under the name Triticum aestivum (bread wheat). Its description in RNAcentral is "partial small subunit ribosomal RNA". The record is from RNAcentral. Lineage: Eukaryota; Viridiplantae; Streptophyta; Magnoliopsida; Poales; Poaceae.
AUGGACCUCCUCCAAAACGCGGAGGUGGACCUCGGAGCUCCGCCUCUAGACCCCUUUAGGGUUGGAGACGACUUGGAGGAAAAGGAGGAAGAUGAGGAGGAUGAAGGGGAUGACGAGGAGGAGCGAGAUAGGGUGGAGGCAUUCACCGCCGCUUCCCGCCCACACGCUCGGUCGACAAACUACACCGAGGCGGAAGAUGUCCUCUUGGUUCGUGCUUGGGCAGCUGUGGGAAUGGAUGCUACCACCGGCACCAAUCAAACCGGUAAACUCUAUUGGUAAAGGAUCGAGGACGUCUAUUGUAGGAUCAAGCCGAAGAAUAGUGGGUUCAUCCAUCGCACAUUCCGGUCGCUUCAAGGCCGUUGGGAGUUGAUCAAGCCCGCUUGUUCUCGUUGGAGUGCGGCCAUGGACCAAGUGAGGGAUGCACCACCUAGUGGAACCGUGGAGAGUGACUAUGAGACAAUUGCCGGCUUGAGGUACAAGGAGAUGGCCGCUUCCAAGGGCAAGCCAUUCCCAUUUAAGCAUGUUUGGUCAAUUCUUCAAACCUUUGACAAGUGGAAGUUGAGGGAUCAAGAGACCGCACCCAAGAAGUCGGCAAUGCUAAGGAUGGACGAUAGUGAAGAUGAGGAGGAGAGGAACGUGGGCAAGCCCGAGGGAAACAAGAAGGGCAAGCUAAGGGUGAAGAUGGAAGAAGAGGCGUCAAGCCUAAGGGAGAAGAUGGACCACAUGAUAAAGGCAAGAGAGGAAUUGACAACGAAGACAUUGGAGAUGAAGCUUCUUAUCACCGAGAAGAAGAAAGAGGUCAAGCUUGCACAAGUUGAAGCAAAACGUGAAGAAGCAAAGCGCAAGGCCGAGUUGGAGGAGAGGAUGAUCAAGCUCAAAGAGGCAAAGGUAUGGAAAGAACUCAUGGUGGAAGAGAAAGAGCACAUGAUGAUGUCCAAGGACAUGGAUCAAGACCAAUUGCAAUGGUGGAAGGACUACAAGGAGGACAUCGCGGAGAGGAAGAGGAUGUUUCGUGUUGCGUCCUCUACUUUUCGAGGUGACACUCCGAUGAGUAGUUGUGGUGAUGGCGGUGUGUACGACUCCAUCGGUGGUGAUGGACAUGCUUGA